This is a non-coding RNA of Caenorhabditis elegans, 51 nucleotides long. NCBI's taxonomy places the organism in Eukaryota, Metazoa, Nematoda, Chromadorea, Rhabditida, Rhabditidae. The record is from Ensembl.
AAGCCAAAGCCUAAGCCUAGGCCUAAGCUUAAGCCUAAGCCUAAGCCUAAA